CCUAAAGGCUCUGUCUGGUGAUGGCACCACCUCCCUGGGUAGACCAUUCCAAUAGCUACUCACCCUUUGUGUGAAGAAUUUCUUCCUGAUGUCCAACAUAAACCUCCCUGACACAGCUUAGGAGAUAAACAGCCCCAGCUCCUUCAGCUACUCCUCACAGAAGGAGCUCCAGACCCUUUACCAGCUGAGUAGCACUACAGCAGAGAGAAGUGAAAAGAAGAUACUUUCAGUUGAUGAUGCCUGUCUUGCAGAUUCAGUGGAAAAAUAGGAAUGAGCUAAGUAACUUAUACAGCAGUCUCAGACCGGUGUUGGUGACCCUCUUCAUACCCUAUGUACACGAUCUGGGCACAAUCUCAAGCUGGAACCAAAGUGCUCUAGAGAGA
Passer domesticus (house sparrow) is the source of this 383-nucleotide long non-coding RNA. RefSeq lists it as uncharacterized. The transcript is spliced from 4 exons. Lineage: Eukaryota; Metazoa; Chordata; Aves; Passeriformes; Passeridae. The record is from RefSeq and is a predicted model, not a curated record.